UUUCCUACGGGGCGCAGCAGUGAGGAAUAUUGGUCAAUGGGCGGGAGCCUGAACCAGCCAAGUCGCGUGAGGGAUGACGGCCCUAUGGGUUGUAAACCUCUUUUGCCGGGGAGCAAAGUGCCGCACGUGUGCGGUUUGGAGAGUACCCGGAGAAAAAGCAUCGGCUAACUCCGUGCCAGCAGCCGCGGUAAUACGGAGGAUGCGAGCGUUAUCCGGAUUUAUUGGGUUUAAAGGGUGCGUAGGCGGAAGGUUAAGUCAGCGGUCAAAUGUCGGUGCUCAACACCGGCCUGCCGUUGAAACUGGUC
Molecule: ribosomal RNA, 305 nt
Filed under: uncultured bacterium
Lineage: Bacteria
Description: bacterial SSU rRNA
Rfam family: Bacterial small subunit ribosomal RNA
Source: RNAcentral